Zingiber officinale is the source of this 552-nucleotide long non-coding RNA. RefSeq lists it as uncharacterized. Lineage: Eukaryota; Viridiplantae; Streptophyta; Magnoliopsida; Zingiberales; Zingiberaceae. The record is from RefSeq and is a predicted model, not a curated record. The transcript is spliced from 3 exons.
ACCUACCCGACACCUCCUCUUUCCCCUUCCAGCGCCGAGCUCCUCUCCCGUGCCCUAAGCCGACGCGCCACCAUCCCUCUUCCUCCCGCGAGCAUCCGGACGCCGACGCCCUCUCUUCCUCGCACACAGACCGUAGCCGCCGGCCUCUCCUCACGCGCAGGCACCAUCUUCACCGGCGGCCUCUCCUUCCUUCCCUCGCGCGAGCACACAGCAGCCGGCGAUCCCUUCUCCUCAUCCCCGAGCCUCACCCACAGACGUCGCCGACCACCUCUACUCGACGUCGACCCCAGUGUGCCCUAGCACCGAUUGCCACCACACAGCCGCUGAUCCUCAUCUCGUCGAGUUGUGCCCUAGCGGAUUCGGACUUUGAUUCGAGUCGGGCGUCUCGACGAAAGAUUUCUGGAUUGGAUCUUCUAUUGAGGCGGGUAACAGGUAGAUGAGUCAUGGAUGCUUGGAGAGUCCCAGCUGCCAGUCCCACGACACACUCGAGGAUAGUUUUUUUUUCUGGUUUUGAUUGCUAACGCAAUUUAUGUUUUGGUUUUGUGAACUUGG